UACGUAUGGUGCAAGCGUUAUCCGGAUUUACUGGGCGUAAAGGGAGCGCAGGCGGCGCGCCAAGUCUGAUGUGAAACCCCGGGGCUCAACCCCGGGCAUGCAUUGGAAACUGGCGGGCUGGAGUGCCGGAGAGGUAAGCGGAAUUCCUAGUGUAGCGGUGAAAUGCGUAGAUAUUAGGAGGAACACCAGUGGCGAAGGCGGCUUACUGGACGGCAACUGGCGCUGAGGCUCGAAAGCGUGGGGAGCAAACAGG
Molecule: ribosomal RNA, 253 nt
Filed under: uncultured bacterium
Lineage: Bacteria
Description: partial 16S ribosomal RNA
Rfam family: Bacterial small subunit ribosomal RNA
Source: RNAcentral